GCGGAGAUCCUGGCCUCAGCUUCCCAGCAGAGGGCUCUUCUGCAGAAAGUGAUCCCAGGAUAGGGGGCUGCCAUGGGAGUCAGGGAUUUGCACCCCAAAUUUCAGGUGGUAUCUGAGCUCUGUGUGUCCUUCCUACCCACCUCUCAGGUGCUACUUACAUCUGAUAAACUCAAGUGGUGGACAGAACAGAGAGGGCCUCCUCCAAGGUGACUUGCUAAGUCCUCCCCUAACGACGAAAUAGAGAAGCUUCCUGCCCCUGUUACACAUGGCCUCCUCCCGGGCCCAGCAGCUCACCUGGACCACGGAAAGCACAGAAAGAACUGGCUGAAUGAAUCAAGAGAUCAAGUGUUCUCCCUGAGGCCCUGUAACAGCUCUGCAGCUGACUGCCCAGAAGGAAGCAGAAGUGAGUGACAAGUUGGGGGAACCAGAGCUUGCACACCAUAGGCCUGAACACUAGCCUCUGGGGAAAGGCAAGUCCAGCUGACCUUGGUGAAGUUAGGACCCGGGCCGAGGCCACCUCUUCUGGUUCACCCUCUGCUGGCCUCCCAGCUUCUUUGGCUCAGCAACACCCAGGAUUCCAGGCAUGUUUGCCUCUGGCCUUCUAAAAAUACCCAGGCCACCCAGCACCUCCCAGAUGUCUGAGCGCUGAGUCUGUGAUUUCCCUGCCGGUAAUGGGACAGCCCCGGGGUGGGCAGGCGGGGGUGGCUCGAGCAGCUCAAGCCACUUCCUCUGCCUCCCAUCCCCUAGCCUACCAGAAGCUGGACCCAGCCCUGCCUCCCAAUCCUUGCAAGGCAAAGGAGGGUAGAGGCUAGCAGACCUCAGAGAUUGUUGACUCCAGUCUCUUCUUGGGACAGAUGGGAGAUCUGAAGUCUAAGGAUUGCUCAUGGCACUUGUGCCAUUAAGGUCCUCCUCACCCCACUCCCCAGCACUGUGUUCAUGCCUGCUGCUGUCUCACUUCCCACAUGCUACUUGGAGUCUAGGUCUUGGAGCCCAACCUGACUUCCUCCAUGCAGCUGAAAGCUCCUGACAGCAGUGAAGGGGAGGAUCCCUGUGGUCUCCAUGGUGCCUGGAAGAGUGUCCAAUCCAGAGCACACCAUCAGUAAACGUAGAUUGGAUUGAACAAUGUAGUGGCAGCUGGGGCAAUGGGUGGAGCACUGGGCUGGAGGACAAAGCCUCUGAAUUCUAUCUAGCCCAGGGUCAGCCACUGUGAUACUAUGCAUCCUCAUCAAUUGCCCUGGACAAACCUGUUUCUCCUGGGCUGGAUAGGAUGGUGUCUAAGGACUGAGCCAGCUCUGCUGAUAUGAAGCUGCAAGCUGAUGCCCUGCUGGAUAUUCCUGUCCCUUCUCUGCUCUACUGUAUGUCUGGGAGAGAUGGCACAACCUGUAGGUUCCAUCAGCUCCAGGUUCUCAGCUUCUGCUCCUCCCUCCGUGCUUCUGAACAUUCCACCUCUGGUCCUAGCCCCUGAGGCCCAGCUCUUCCAAUAGUGCCACUUCCACCUCUGCUGCUGGGUACACAGGGGUGAAUGCAUACCUACCUCGCUCACUAAUCAUGUGACCUUGGGUAAGGCAUUGCCCUUUUCUGGGCUUCAGUUUUAUCAUAUCUAAAAGGGAAUAAUAAGGCCUACCUUAAAGGAGUGCUAUGAGGAUGUAGGAGAUUCCAUAGCUCAGAUGUCAGGUUAUAUAUCACCUCCUGCAGAAAGUCUCCCCUGUCCUCCCAAGGAUGGCUCAGAUAGCAUUUGUUGCUGGCUCUUCAGUUCUGACCUUCCCAUGUUCACACUAUGUGGUCAUUGGCUCUCUAUGCAUCCAUCCCCCACCAAGCUGUGGGCUCCUCAAGGCCAGGAGUCUCCAGGACCCAGUACAGGACCUUUACAGAUGAAGUGCCUGGGAACGUUUUUUGACAGACACAGUGGGUGAGUAAAGCCUGAGAGAAAGGCAAGGGGUUGUGCAGAAGUCUGGGAGUCUGAGUAAGAAGUGGCCUGACUGACAGGGCAAGUUCUGGUGGUAUGAAUAUUGACAGCUGCUUGGAGCCCUUCCCCCAUUUCCCUGCUUGGUAAAUUCAUCCUUCAAGAUCCCAGGAGAGCAUCUCCUUCCCUGAGAAACCUGAUCACUCUCCCCUCUACCACAUUACACACUCCACUGUAGGUGUUCUUUACACACCUGUCUCCCUUCUCAGAUGUGAGUUCCCUGAAGGCAAGACCCUGUUGGAUCUCACAGCACCAAGCACUAGAUCUGGCAUGAGUUAGUCAAGGUUUUGGAGCAGAAGAAUGGAUGGAGGAAAUAAUUUCUGAAUCGAACUUGGAAUUGAACUGCCUGAACUUUAAUGCCCUUUCCAGCCUUAGGGAUGAUAAUGAAUUACCAAAGUGAGAAAAAUGGAGGCGCAAGCUGUUGUCAUCCUUCCAGAGGCACCCUCCAAGUGUGUGUGGGUGAAAUGUGAGCUGGAGAGAGGAUUGACAAAGAGCAGUGAAAACAUAUUCCUGGACCCCAUUCUUUUUUUUUUUUUUUUUUUUUUUGAGAUGGAAUUUCCCUCUUGUCAUCCAGGCUGAAGUGCAAUAGCUCAAUCUCGGCUCACUGCAACCUCCACCUCCCAGGUUCAAGCGAUUCUCCUGCCUCAGCCUCCCGAGUAGCUGGGAUUACAGACACACACCACCACGCCCAGCUAUUUUUUGUAUUUUUAGUAGAGAUGGGGUUUCACCAUGUUGGCCAGGCUGGUCUCGAACUCCUGACCUCAGGUGAUCCACCUGCCUCGGCCUCCCAAAGUGCUGGGAUUACAGGCAUGAGCCACUGUGCCUGGCCUGAACCCCAUUUUUAUCUCUGGAUUUUUCUCUCUGUUGAAGAAUUGCUGCAGAAACCAUAUUCUAAGUAUAAAAGGCCUUUAGAUACCUAAGAUGAUCCCCAGAACCUUGAUGUGAAUCCAUUUACUCAUACUUUACAUUCUCACUUUACACUUUGAGCAUGAAGCCCAUGGUGAUCUGGUUGUAAAAGGUUUAAAGGUUAAUUGGCAGCCAAUGUUGGGGGUGAGAAGUUGCUGCUGCAGGCAGGCAGGUAUUCACCAAGGCAGCAGAGAGAGGAGGCAUCUGCCAGGCUGGUAGAAAGGAAAUAGAAAAAGAAAACAGGCCGAGAGCGGAGGCUCAGGCCUGUAAUCCCAGCACUAUGGGAGGCCAAGGCGGGCGGAUUGCUUGGUUGCAGUGAGCCAAGAUCGUGCACUACACUACAGCCUGGGUGACAGGGCGAGACUCCAUCUUAAAAAAUCAUAAUAAAUAAAAUAAAAAUACAAAAAUUAUCCAGGUGUGGUUGUGCAUGCUGUCGUCCCAGCUACUCGGGG
Molecule: long non-coding RNA, 3321 nt
Filed under: Homo sapiens (human)
Lineage: Eukaryota; Metazoa; Chordata; Mammalia; Primates; Hominidae
Description: HSALNT0178061
Source: RNAcentral